ACACACACACACACACACACACACACACACACACACACACACACACACACACACACACACACACACACACACACACACACACAGACACAAUUUAAUGCUUAAUUUUUGCCUUCUGAUUAAUAAAUGUAAUUGUUUAUUGUUAUGAUUUUGGUCAUAUAAUAUAGAGCUGUAGAGUGAUCAUCAGUUUAUCGAUGAAGAAGAAGAGGAAGAAGAAGAGGAAGAAGAAGAGGAAGAAGAAGAGGUUUAUAUCAUAAAAACUAACAUGGAACACUUCUCAGACCCAGGCAUUUCCUCCUCUCUUUCUUCCUCCUCCCCCUCCUCCCCCUCCACCGCCCUCCUCAUCAUUAUCAUCGUUUUUUCUUCCCUACGCUCCACAGAUCGUGUGUCAGAGUUCACCAUCACUUCCUCCUUCAGACGUCUCUCUCGCUUCCUUACUGUUCAUGUAAAGACUCGUCCAAAUCCCAGCACUAAUUAAGCCUCUGAGCAGGAAUGAGUGAUCACACGCAGGUUAUUAGCAUUCAGCAUGUGGAGAACUUUAGAACUUUAAAAUAAUGUUAUAGCUGCGUUCACUCGGCACGUCGCAGUGGAGCUUCAGCAGUUGUGGUUCUGCCUCCUGGCCUCUUUUCUGCUCUCCUCACUUCCUGUCUGAGGUUGGAGGUGUUUAAGCUUCGUUGAGUUCGAUCUUGGCCUCCACCUUAUCGUCCUGGGGCACAUUUUCCCUGAGGAACAUCCUUCAGAGCAGCUUGGCACGCUCUCCUGAGACGAGGAAAAGAAACAGAGGAGCUGUGAGUGUUGAUCUUCUCCACGUUUAAGCUGAAUAACCCUCCUGACUCCCGUCGGCUCCUGAACUCACUGCUACGUGCACGUUAUGCUUCAUCAGUACAUUAUUAACACAAAGAAAAACAUGAAACUCGUCAUUGUGCAGUGAAGGCGAUACGGAGUCAGUGAGAUGACACACACCAGCUACAGGCGGAGAGCAUCCAUCAUCCUGUGAUUGCCAGAUGUUCAGAUUUCAUUCAGCAUGUAGCUGCAGGAGAGAACGUUCUCCAACACAAACAUCUGCUUUCAGCAGCUCAGAGACGCUUCAUCACCGGGGGACGAGGAGGAACAUGGACACUGACGAUACGAAUGAAACAAAUCCACUCUGGGACUUCAGGAACCUAGAUUUAGGAGUGUCCAAUGUGGGCGGAGUUAAGCACAACCACCAAUCACACGGCUUCUGAGAUCUCUGAGUGUGAAGCUUAGUCCAGCGUUUCCUAAUUGUCUGUGUGAACAUUGUUGUGUUUAUUCUGGAGCUCAUUAGCUGCACUUUACGGCCCUUAAGCUGCUCUAAAUCGCACCAUAAACCCUAUAAAUGUACGUCUCGUGUCACCGAAUAUAAAAACUAUGAGAAUUUAUAGUUUUAAUAACUCGCUGCUUUGUGUGGGGUUUAGUUAAAAGACCAAAAGGAAUAAAUAUAAUCAGAAUCAGACGUUUCAUCAGAGUCAGUAUUCUAAUCUUACACUUUAUGAUUCAUCAUAUCCUGUUUAUUACAUAUUCAGCUCAUUUAUUUCACUGUGAAGACAAACACAAUAAUAUAUUAGUGAUAAUAUACAAUUCUAAUAGUUCAUUAUUUAUAAACACAAAGUCAUUUAUUGGGAAAUCAUGGAAUAUUUAAUCUUUUUAAAGGACGAUGACACAAAUCAUAGCGACACACACACACACACACACACAAGGUAAUGUGGGAUUCUGAAAUGGGUGGGGCUAUUUUAGUUCUUUUUGGUUCUGUGUGUGUGUGUGUGUGUGUGUGUGUGUGUGUGUGUGUGUGUGUUAUUGUACACCAUGCUGAUUUACUUCCUGUUUUGCUGUUGCUGGCUCCGCCCCCUGAUUGUCAGUCUCACCUGUGAGUUAUUUUGUCAUUUCACUUUGUUCAUCUAAUAAACUGAUAACUGUGA
Long non-coding RNA from Tachysurus fulvidraco (yellow catfish), 1934 nucleotides. RefSeq lists it as uncharacterized. The transcript is spliced from 3 exons. Lineage: Eukaryota; Metazoa; Chordata; Actinopteri; Siluriformes; Bagridae. The record is from RefSeq and is a predicted model, not a curated record.